AGCCGGGUCCUGCGCAACAAAGGAUCACGAACUCCGCCAGGUCCGGGAGGAAGCAACGGUAGUGAACCCCUUUGUGUGAUGCAGGGUGCCCGGCUAUC
This is a non-coding RNA of Desulfofustis glycolicus DSM 9705, 98 nucleotides long. It matches the Rfam family "Bacterial small signal recognition particle RNA". From Rfam's summary of the family: The signal recognition particle (SRP) is a universally conserved ribonucleoprotein involved in the co-translational targeting of proteins to membranes. Lineage: Bacteria; Pseudomonadati; Thermodesulfobacteriota; Desulfobulbia; Desulfobulbales; Desulfocapsaceae. The record is from Rfam.